Molecule: ribosomal RNA, 116 nt
Filed under: Pteropus alecto (black flying fox)
Lineage: Eukaryota; Metazoa; Chordata; Mammalia; Chiroptera; Pteropodidae
Source: RNAcentral
GUCUACAGCCAUGUCACCCUGAACAAGCCCAGUGUCUGAUCUUGGAAGCUAAGCAGGGUUGGGCCUGGUUAGUACUUAGAUGGGAGACCACCUAGGAAGACCAGGUACUGUAGGCA